Molecule: long non-coding RNA, 210 nt
Filed under: Manihot esculenta (cassava)
Lineage: Eukaryota; Viridiplantae; Streptophyta; Magnoliopsida; Malpighiales; Euphorbiaceae
Description: long non-coding RNA (MESC_LNC006892)
Source: RNAcentral
GAGGUGAGUGGAACUAACCCUUAUGUUUUAAAUCAAAUGUUUUUAGCAUGUUCAAGCAUGUUCAUGCAUCAUGAAUACCAUGUUAUGCAAUAGGUUGUUUGCAUUAGACUUCACAAAUAUGAUGCAUUGCAUAAUACGAUGAUGAUGAUGUGGAUGGAUACUGGAUGAUCCUCUAGCCCUCAGUAUGUUAUGACAUGAUAUGGAAUGAUA